UACGUAGGGGGCUAGCGUUGUCCGGAAUCAUUGGGCGUAAAGCGCGUGUAGGCGGUUCGGUAAGUCCGCUGUGAAAGUCGGGGGCUCAACCCUCGGAAGCCGGUGGAUACUGUCGAGCUAGAGUCCGGAAGAGGAGAGUGGAAUUCCUGGUGUAGCGGUGAAAUGCGCAGAUAUCAGGAAGAACACCAAUGGCGAAAGCAGCUCUCUGGGACGGUACUGACGCUGAGACGCGAAAGCGUGGGGAGCGAACAGG
RNAcentral lists this ribosomal RNA (253 nucleotides) under uncultured bacterium. RNAcentral describes it as "partial 16S ribosomal RNA". It matches the Rfam family "Bacterial small subunit ribosomal RNA", at positions 524 to 776 of the family's 1533-position model. The record is from RNAcentral.